CCCACGACGGGGAAAAUAGUCUCUCUAGUAUUGUCGGUGAAUGGCGAUGGUGGUGGUGGCGAUGGCUACUUUCCUCUGCUCAGAGAGAACCCCUGCAUGUCCUUCGUCGUGAUGCGAAAGAGCAGUGGAUGCAGAAAAUGUCUCUACCUGCCAGGAUGGUAUAAGAGCACGAACUGAAUCACCUGUUGGUGCAGAAGGCUUGGAGGACUGCUUUUGAAACAGUUGUUCAAAUUUCCUGCACCUCUUCGUAGCCGUUGUCUGAUUUCUGCAUUCUGGGGAGACUGAAGUUAAGAAGCCCUCACCGAAACCAACACUACGUUGCUGUGUUGUUUUCUUCCAAGGUCGGGCACAGUAAAGGAGACGACUCUGUAUCAAGGCACUACCCAGAAGGAGGAUGUUGGCCUUCUCCUGAUGGGAAAAUGUCUUCUUUCUCAUGGCGUGGCCAGGACUGCACUGACCCUACCAUCCACUCUACCUCUCCGGAAAGGGACUUGACAACCAGUCAAGAUGGAUGUGCAGAGAUAUACCAGCGCUUCUAGCAUUAACUGCCAAUUUGCACUGACGCAGCAAGACUCCCAACAGUCAAGAAGAAUAAUAUAGACGUGCAGAAAAUGUAGGAGAGCGAUGACAUCAGAAGGACACUCUCAGGUUCAGGGUACCUGUACUGCCCCAAUAAAGUGGGUCAGAUCCCAAAACGAGGUUGGCCGAAGCAAAAAAAAUAGAAGAGCCUGCCUUGAACUGAAUAUGAGAAGGAAGAAGAAGAAGACAAAGAAAGAGAAAGAGUAGGAAUUUGUUUGUGUAAACUUUGUUUCCUCUGUCUAGGCUGCCACCGCAUUAUAGCAGCCAACAGUGUGUGUGUGUGUGUGUGUGCGUGCGUGCGUGCGUGCGUGCGUGCGUGCGUGCGUGCGUGCGUGUGUGUGCAUAUGUGUGUGUGUUUACGUUUGUGUGCACACGCUUGUGUGUGUGUUUGCAUGUGUGUAUAUUCUGCUAAUCUUGACUUAAAUUUCACAUCUGGGCAUAUUGUGUUCUGUAUGUGAAUUUAUCUUCAUUAACUUGUGCGCUACGUUCCUUUCUUCACGUU
Long non-coding RNA from Sycon ciliatum, 1081 nucleotides. RefSeq lists it as uncharacterized. The transcript has 6 exons. Lineage: Eukaryota; Metazoa; Porifera; Calcarea; Leucosolenida; Sycettidae. The record is from RefSeq and is a predicted model, not a curated record.